CAGAGUUGCAAAACUCCCUAAACACUUGUGAACCUACCCGUAUCGUUGCUUCGGUGGGCGGCCCCAGGGCGGGGCCGUAGCCUUUACAGGCGCCCGCCGAAGGUUAUAAACGCUAUAUUUUAUUGACGCUCUGAGUAAACUUUUAAUAAGUCA
This 153-nucleotide unclassified non-coding RNA is filed under the name uncultured Sordariales. RNAcentral describes it as "sequence contains ITS1". The record is from RNAcentral. Lineage: Eukaryota; Fungi; Ascomycota; Sordariomycetes; Sordariales.